AUAAUGUGUCAGCCAUAUUGACUUCUAGGACAUAUAUCCAACAAAAAGUAUAUCAAUCACACUGAAAAGAUCAUUCUUCAGCCCAUGAAACCCUAACACCUUGCGAACCCGAUGCAUUGUUGGCCACCGAACCUUUUGGAUCGACAUCAACGACCUCAAGCAUCCCCCGCUUGCUCAAAACUUCAAGAAGAGAUACAUCAACACC
RNAcentral lists this long non-coding RNA (205 nucleotides) under Elaeis guineensis (African oil palm). RNAcentral describes it as "long non-coding RNA (EGUI_LNC034619)". Lineage: Eukaryota; Viridiplantae; Streptophyta; Magnoliopsida; Arecales; Arecaceae. The record is from RNAcentral.